This 74-nucleotide transfer RNA is filed under the name Demequina sp. TMPB413. Its description in RNAcentral is "tRNA-Arg". It matches the Rfam family "tRNA". From Rfam's summary of the family: Transfer RNA (tRNA) molecules are approximately 80 nucleotides in length. The record is from RNAcentral. RNAcentral also lists the same sequence under 1 other name. Lineage: Bacteria; Bacillati; Actinomycetota; Actinomycetes; Micrococcales; Demequinaceae.
GCCCUCGUAGCUCAGCUGGAUAGAGCACCGGACUUCUAAUCCGAUGGUCGCAGGUUCGAAUCCUGCCGGGGGCA